AUUGAACGCUGGCGGCAGGCCUAACACAUGCAAGUCGAGCGGAUGAAGGGAGCUUGCUCCUGGAUUCAGCGGCGGACGGGUGAGUAAUGCCUAGGAAUCUGCCUGGUAGUGGGGGAUAACGUCCGGAAACGGGCGCUAAUACCGCAUACGUCCUGAGGGAGAAAGUGGGGGAUCUUCGGACCUCACGCUAUCAGAUGAGCCUAGGUCGGAUUAGCUAGUUGGUGGGGUAAAGGCCUACCAAGGCGACGAUCCGCAACUGGUCUGAGAGGAUGAUCAGUCACACUGGAACUGAGACACGGUCCAGACUCCUACGGGAGGCAGCAGUGGGGAAUAUUGGACAAUGGGCGAAAGCCUGAUCCAGCCAUACCGCGUGUGUGAAGAAGGUCUUCGGAUUGUAAAGCACUUUAAGUUGGGAGGAAGGGCAGUAAGUUAAUACCUUGCUGUUUUGACGUUACCAACAGAAUAAGCACCGGCUAACUUCGUG
This 484-nucleotide ribosomal RNA is filed under the name uncultured bacterium. RNAcentral describes it as "partial 16S ribosomal RNA". It matches the Rfam family "Bacterial small subunit ribosomal RNA", at positions 30 to 507 of the family's 1533-position model. The record is from RNAcentral.